AAAUAAUGAUCACGAGAAGGGCCCCAUCUUGUCUAAAUGAAGGAACCAGACCCCAUAAAGCAGCCCCGUGGGAAGCCACUUCUCAGAAUCUUAUCCAGGACACAGAAAGGACCUGUCCUACUGAGCUCUGGAUGCUCUCUAAUCCGGUCAAUUCAGUGAUGGAAGAGUCAGUUUGGAUAAAAGAACAAUAAAUCCAACCAUUAUCUCAGAUAAUUAAGAGGUGACCGUCAUCCUCCUUGGAAUCUGAAAGGAUGAGAGUUGUAGCAGAUACCCAUAGUAAGUAAGCUGAACCGAGUUGUACACUGUGCCGAAGAAGCCACAAAUUCAGAAUCCCAAUGAGAGCUCAAACAAGCAUCAAUCGAGUGGGCAACUUCAUGAAAAUAAACAUUAGAGGAUCACAGAGCAUGUGAUGAGGGAUAAACAAAAUGCCCAUGCAGAGGCUGCUACUCACGAAACAAACAGAAGCUAAUGAAAGAAGCCAGAACCCUUGGCCAUCCAUCUAUGACACUGGGAGAAAUAAAAGGAUAGAGACAGUCGCCAGAGGCAGGGGCAGUGGAAGCUAUGGAAAUGGUCUGUGGCAUGACUAUGGAUACAUGACUAUCUGCACUUACCAAAACCCAUGCAGCUGCAUACAACAAAGAGUAUUUACUGUAUGUAUUAAAAUUAAUCCCACAAGGUGUAUGUGUAUGAGGGAAUAGGAAUACAGCUGUAAUUAAAUAUCUUAUAAAUAAC
Molecule: long non-coding RNA, 732 nt
Filed under: Rattus norvegicus (Norway rat)
Lineage: Eukaryota; Metazoa; Chordata; Mammalia; Rodentia; Muridae
Description: long non-coding RNA NONRATT030087
Source: RNAcentral